AGUGAACGCUGGCGGUAGGCCUAACACAUGCAAGUCGAACGGCAGCACAGUAAGAGCUUGCUCUUACGGGUGGCGAGUGGCGGACGGGUGAGGUAUACAUCGGAAUCUACUUUUUCGUGGGGGAUAACGUAGGGAAACUUACGCUAAUACCGCAUACGACCUACGGGUGAAAGCAGGGGAUCUUCGGACCUUGCGCGAUUGAAUGAGCCGAUGUCGGAUUAGCUAGUUGGCGGGGUAAAGGCCCACCAAGGCGACGAUCCGUAGCUGGUCUGAGAGGAUGAUCAGCCACACUGGAACUGAGACACGGUCCAGACUCCUACGGGAGGCAGCAGUGGGGAAUAUUGGACAAAGGGCGCAAGCCUGAUCCAGCCAUACCGCGUGGGUGAAGAAGGCCUUCGGGUUGUAAAGCCCUUUUGUUGGGAAAGAAAAGCAGCAGGUUAAUACCCCGCUGUUCUGACGGUACCCAAAGAAUAAGCACCGGCUAACUUCGUG
This 492-nucleotide ribosomal RNA is filed under the name uncultured bacterium. Its description in RNAcentral is "partial 16S ribosomal RNA". It matches the Rfam family "Bacterial small subunit ribosomal RNA", at positions 29 to 507 of the family's 1533-position model. The record is from RNAcentral.